This 253-nucleotide ribosomal RNA is filed under the name uncultured bacterium. RNAcentral's name for it is "partial 16S ribosomal RNA". It matches the Rfam family "Bacterial small subunit ribosomal RNA", at positions 524 to 776 of the family's 1533-position model. The record is from RNAcentral.
UACGGAGGGGGCAAGCGUUAUUCGGAAUUAUUGGGCGUAAAGGGCGCGUAGGCGGCUAGAUGUGUCAAAGGUGAAAUCCCUCGGCUCAACUGAGGAACUGCCUUUGAAACUGUCUGGCUUGAGGCCGGGAGAGGGUAGCGGAAUUCCCAGUGUAGCGGUGAAAUGCGUAGAUAUUGGGAGGAACACCAGUGGCGAAGGCGGCUCUCUGGUACGUGACUGACGCUGAGACGCGAAAGCGUGGGGAGCAAACAGG